UUCAGUUGUAAACUGGAUUUAGUUACUCAGCUUUAUAAGGUCUUUUGCAAAGUUGAUUCCUAUUAAACUAUUUUAGUAAUUAUUGUUCAAAUUUAUGUUGUAAAUUUUUAAGUUUCAACUUUGAUCAUUAGCAGAUUUCUUGUGCUAUUUAAUAUUUUUGAUAAUUCCUUAAAUCUUUUCUUAUGUGAUAGAUAUAUUCUAGUCCCAAAAAAAUAUAACAUGGAAACUGAAAAGAAUUAUCAAAAUUAUUCUUUAUAUCUGCAUAAGUUUUGUCUUGCCUGCUUAUUUUUUGCAUAGAGGUGCUUAUGUUUCUAUUAAUUCUUUGUAUAUUUCUUCAUUAUUAAGGCGGAAGAAGUUUUGGGUAAUCAAUAUUUGGUAGACAGAUGACACAUAGGGUUUGAGGUUAAUAUCUGGCUUAUAUCUGUUGUUCUUUAUCUUAUUGCAUGGUCAAAUUACCCUAACCCUAAUGCUUCAUUAUUAAGUCAGGUAGAAAUUCUUGGUAAUCAGUAUUUGGUCUAGACAAAUGACACAUGGGGUUUGAGGUUUACAUCUGGCUUAUAUCUAGAUCUGUUGUUCUGUACUGUAUUUCCAUGGUCAAAUUACAACUAAAUUAACUCAAAAUUUCCCACCAUUAUAAUGUUGAAUAGGACGACUUUAUGAAGUUAAUAUGUUUAUUGUAAGGUUCACAUUUGUCAAAAAGGGUUUCGUGGUUCAGUGAUCAAAGUUAAGUUUUCUUGAUUAAAUCUGUUUCUCAGAGACUUAAUCCAAAUGAAGUACACCACUAAUUCAUGGCCCAAUUGCUUUCUAUGUUAAAUUCCUCAAUUUCAAGCAGAUACACCUCUUUUGUUUUAAGUUCAAAUAAAGUAACAAUCAUUGCAUGUCAAAGCAACACUUUAUGGUGUCUUGUGCUGACAAAAUCAGCAUACCUUUAAUGGCAUAUAAGAAAGAACUGGUUCACGGAACUUCAGAUGUACCAAAACAGGUACUUCAGAUCUGACUAACAGGCAAAAUGUACCCUCUUUUUAAAAUUUGGUGCAGUUUUUUCAAUAUUUAAAAUUAUAAACAUUGUAACUUGAAAAUGCUAGCAUUAUGAAUGUUUUGAUUAUCUUGAAUUUUGAUACAUUACCAAUAAUAAUUUUCAUUCAUUCCAUGCCUGAUCAUUUUAAUACAUGAAAUACAUUGUUUGUUGUUGUUAAUUUCUUUUUUUUAAUUAAAAGGAUGUGAACUUAUAGUUAAUUUUUAAUCUUAUAAAGGGCCAGUGUCAGAUUUUGCCAUCACCUGUUAACUUUUACAAAAGUUUCUCCGAAACUUCUUGGCCAAAUUUGCAAGUUAAACCAAAUCAUCCUUGAGCGAUCUAGUUUUUGUCGAGCCUUCGACUUUAGUCACAGAAAGCUUGACAUAGGGAUAGUGAUCUGGCAGCAGCUGAGUUAGUUAGCUUCGUAUAAGCUUUAUAUUUUAGAAGAUGGAAGACCUUGAUGCUUCAUACUGUAUAUAAGGGCCUUAUGUUACAAAGUUUUUGUCUGUCAUAUGACCAUUGUCCUUGACCUCAUUUUCAUUGUUCAGUUACUACUUGAAAAAAAAGGUUAAGAUUUUUUGAAUUGUUAAUUUCUCUCUUAUGAGUAAUAGGAUAUGGGUAUUCAUUAUUAUUCGUUGGAUACCAAUUUUCGUGGCUUUCAUGGGUACAGGUGAACCAUGAAAUUAAAUGAUCAAGGAAUAACAAAUUCUCUUUCAGAUUGUAUACAGAAAAUAAAUAUCCA
This 1757-nucleotide long non-coding RNA is filed under the name Mytilus galloprovincialis (Mediterranean mussel). The record is from RNAcentral. Lineage: Eukaryota; Metazoa; Mollusca; Bivalvia; Mytilida; Mytilidae.